RNAcentral lists this ribosomal RNA (259 nucleotides) under uncultured bacterium. RNAcentral describes it as "partial 16S ribosomal RNA". It matches the Rfam family "Bacterial small subunit ribosomal RNA", at positions 1243 to 1500 of the family's 1533-position model. The record is from RNAcentral.
AAAGCAGCGAAGUCGUGAGGCGGAGCAAAUCUCGAAAACCGGUCCCAGUUCGGACUGCAGGCUGCAACUCGCCUGCACGAAGCCGGAGUUGCUAGUAAUCGCGGAUCAGAAUGCCGCGGUGAAUGCGUUCCCGGGUCUUGUACACACCGCCCGUCACACCAUGGAAGUUGGGGGCGCCCGAAGCCACUUAGCUAACCCUUUUGGGAAGCGAGUGUCGAAGGUGAAAUCAAUAACUGGGGUGAAGUCGUAACAAGGUAAC